RNAcentral lists this unclassified non-coding RNA (304 nucleotides) under plant metagenome. Its description in RNAcentral is "partial contains 5.8S ribosomal RNA, internal transcribed spacer 2, and large subunit ribosomal RNA". The stretch from base 1 to 105 matches the Rfam family "5.8S ribosomal RNA", at positions 50 to 154 of the family's 154-position model. The record is from RNAcentral.
GAAAUGCGAUAAGUAAUGCGAAUUGCGGAAUUCAGUGAAUCAUCGAAUCUUUGAACGCACAUUGCGCCCCCCAGUAUUCUGGCGGGCAUGCCUGUUCGAGCGUCAUUUCAACCAUCAAGCCCCCCGGCUUGUGUUGGGGACCUGCGGCUGCCGCAGGCCCUGAAAAGCAGUGGCGGGCUCGCUGUCACACCGAGCGUAGUAGCAUACAUCUCGCUCUGGGCGUGCUGCGGGUUCCGGCCGUUAAACCACCUUCGUAACCCAAGGUUGACCUCGGAUCAGGUAGGAAGACCCGCUGAACUUAAGC